This 2011-nucleotide long non-coding RNA is filed under the name Triticum aestivum (bread wheat). RNAcentral's name for it is "long non-coding RNA (TAES_LNC019621)". The record is from RNAcentral. Lineage: Eukaryota; Viridiplantae; Streptophyta; Magnoliopsida; Poales; Poaceae.
CACCGCUUUCAGAUCAUAAAUACAUAUGGUAUCCCUAUACAUAUUUUGACAUUGAUUGUUACAGCUUCAGGCCACAGUUAUUCCCCGACAUUGGUUAAUGAAAAUAACAAGUGACACCCGGCUGCUCUAAGAACAGGAAAAUGAAUUUGUAAUAUUUGGACCAUGCUGAUGGGUUUUCACUCUUCAGCUCGAAUGGAUUUUUUUUUUGUAGAUUUGGCAAAAGAACAUGCCAGGCUACGCUUGUUUAGGCAAAAGCGGAAAGUUAUCUGAUAACUACAAAUGCACUCCCUCUUUCUGAAACUGCUACAUGUAUACAGGUUACAAAUUGGUAAUAAAUCUGAUGUUGCCACACAACUUAUGACUGUACAAGCUAUAAGUUAUAAGAUCAUUGCAAGCCAGGUCAGGCUAAAUUUGGAAACUAGCUAAGUUAUCCCAUUCCAUCAAAUAAUAAAUUUGAAGGUACCACUUGCCACACAACUUAUGACUACAUGCUCGCAUAGUCGUAUUUGCCUUAAAAAACAGUCAGCAGUUUCAUUAGUAUGUGUCUUCAGAAACAGUGAAAAGAUACACAAAUAUUUAUCUGCUUUCACCUAUCUUCCCAGCUUCAUCAAUCUAAGAGAUUGCUCUCCCUGUCCUGGACUCCUGGCUCAACCUCGAGUACAAUAGGUGUUCAUCAUCACCACCCAUCAGCUUUGAUGUUAUACUAGUACCCUCUUACUGUAGUACACUAGUACUAAAACAUGAAAACUGGCACCGCUCUAGUGCCAUCCAAUAUAAUAGCGUCAGAGAUUGUGAGCUAGUUCAGGGCUACAAGUUAUUAAGAUCAUAAAUUGCAAGUGAGUUCAGGGCAGAAAUUUGAAAUGGCUAACCAAAUGAAGCAAUUCCAUUCCAUCAAAUAAUAGUGAAGCAAAUCAUGGUGGAGAACUGUGACCAGCAAGUUGUUUCAUGAUUCACCUUGGCCAACUUAAAUGAACUCAAAAGUCUCACAUUAUGAAAUCAGAAAGCAAGGAGAAAUGGACCCCCAAUAAGACAGAACUGAGUUCACAAAUAACAUUAUUUUAGCACUAGCUAGACGAUUCUUCCAACUGACAUGGGCCAAAUAAUUUGGGAUCUUUAUGGAUGUGCUAUUAAUUAAUGGUCUGAACCCAAAGGUAAGGAUAACACUCCUAGCAUUUGCCAGUGAGCAAGGUUCCAUCACAAUUUCUCCCUAUGAAGAUUCAGUUUGCACCUUGCAGAUAUUUCAACAAAUGUCUGACCCACAAAUUUCAGUGCAUACCAAAGCCAAAAGUACAGCAAUACAUCAUGAUAAGCUAAUUUGAAAGUCAAAAGCUAAUUUCUUCCAAUUGACAUGAACCAAAUAGUUUGGGAUCUUUAUGGAUGUGCUAUCAAUUAGAAGUCUAAGCCCAAAGGUAAGGUACAGAUUAAAAAAAAGGCAGGAAAUGGCUGCAUAUAUGUAGCUUAAUGAGGAAAUUAUUGCUCGGACAGUCGUGGUAAGGUGCUUGUUCUUACCAUUGGUCAUGGAGCAAUUCAAGUCCAGGCUCACUGUUUGUUAUCUUCUGGACUCAUUGCCUAACAAUGCAACAGCACAUACACUCAUACAUCUCCCAGUGAGCAAAUUGACUUCCACCACGGUUUCAAGGUACUACUUCCCUAAUCCCUAUGAAGAUUUAGUUUGCAUCUUGAAAAUAUUUCAACAAAUGGCUAGCCCACAAAUUGCAGUGGAUACAAAAGCCAAAGUACAGCAAUCCAUAAGAUAAGCUAAUUUGAUAAAUCUUAUAAAGAGCUGCCGAAAUUGGCUAAUUUGUUCAUCACAAACUGACAGAAAGCCCAGCAUUCCAACCAGCACAUGUUACCCUCCACAAGGACUCAUCCACAUCUCAAGUUUUAUUUCAAGAAAUUCACAAGCAGCAGUAUACACCCAAUGAUCACACCUUUGCACCUACGAAACCUGGCAACACCCAAGAUAGAUACCGCGACGGCAGCAUAGGGGUGGUUAUCUCCUCGUGCUCAG